Ribosomal RNA from Oryzias melastigma (Indian medaka), 120 nucleotides. The record is from Ensembl. Lineage: Eukaryota; Metazoa; Chordata; Actinopteri; Beloniformes; Adrianichthyidae.
GCUUACGGCCACACCGCCCUGAGCGCGCCCCGAUCCCGUCUGAUCUCGGAAGCUAAGCAAGGUUGGGUCUGGUUAGUACUUGGAUGGAAGACCGCCUGGGAAUACCAGAUGCUGUAAGUU